GAUGAAGAACGUAGCGAAAUGCGAUAAGUAAUGUGAAUUGCAGAAUUCAGUGAAUCAUCGAAUCUUUGAACGCACCUUGCGCCCUUUGGCCAUUCCGAAGGGCAUGCCUGUUUGAGUAUCAUGAACACCUCAACUCUCAUGGCUCGCCAUGAUGAGCUUGGAUUUGGGGGUCUUGCUGGCCUGUGGUCGGCUCCUCUCAAAUGGAUAAGCUUGCCAGUGUUUGGUGGCAUCACAGGUGUGAUAACUAUCUGCGCUUGUGGUUUUCCAUCAGAUAACCUUCAGUGAUGGAGGUUCGCUGGAGCUCAUAAACGUCUCCCCUAAGCGGGGACAGCCCUUUGAAUGUUUGAUCUCAAAUCAGGUAGGACUACCCGCUGAACUUAAGCAUAUCAAUAAGCGGAGGA
RNAcentral lists this unclassified non-coding RNA (401 nucleotides) under soil metagenome. RNAcentral's name for it is "partial contains 5.8S ribosomal RNA, internal transcribed spacer 2, and large subunit ribosomal RNA". The stretch from base 1 to 121 matches the Rfam family "5.8S ribosomal RNA", at positions 35 to 154 of the family's 154-position model. The record is from RNAcentral.